GAUGAACGUUGGCGGUGUGCCUAAUACAUGCAAGUCGAACGGAGACUGUAGCAAUACUGUCUUAGUGGCGAACGGGUGAGUAACGCGUUGGUGAUCUGCCUCGAAGUGUGGAAUAACCUCCCGAAAGGGAAGCUAAUACCGCAUAGUCUCUCAAGGUUUAGAAAAUUGAGAGUAAAGGAUUUAUUCGCUUCGAGAGGAGCCUGCGUCCCAUCAGCUAGUUGGUAGGGUAACGGCCUACCAAGGCAAUGACGGGUAGGGGACCUGAGAGGGUGGCCCCCCACAAUGGAACUGAAACACGGUCCAUACACCUACGGGUGGCAGCAGUAGGGAAUAUUAGAAAUGGGCGGAAGCCUGAUCUAGCAACACCGCGUGUGUGAUGAAGGCCUUCGGGUCGUAAAGCACUUUUUGGAGGGAAUAGGAAGGAAGGUACCUCCAGAAUAAAGUCUCGGCUAACUACGUG
RNAcentral lists this ribosomal RNA (460 nucleotides) under uncultured bacterium. RNAcentral's name for it is "bacterial SSU rRNA". It matches the Rfam family "Bacterial small subunit ribosomal RNA", at positions 28 to 507 of the family's 1533-position model. The record is from RNAcentral.